Molecule: long non-coding RNA, 211 nt
Filed under: Setaria italica (foxtail millet)
Lineage: Eukaryota; Viridiplantae; Streptophyta; Magnoliopsida; Poales; Poaceae
Description: long non-coding RNA (SITA_LNC001355)
Source: RNAcentral
UGGAGCCAGCGGUGGAAAAGUUCCUGGAACUUUGGGGGAACUUCGAUUCCCGUCGAUUUGGUGGACGAUUGCUGGAGAGGAGGGGCUGAGGAUGUAGCCAAGGAAGGAGCGCAUCUCUGGGCAAGAGGAAUUUGGUGGAGGUAGAGGGAUGGUGGAGGAAUCGGCUAGGGAACGAAGGUGUCUCAAGAACUCGGUCAUGGGAAAAGCUCCU